CUUCCGGAGCUAACGCGUUAAGUAGACCGCCUGGGGAGUACGGCCGCAAGGUUAAAACUCAAAUGAAUUGACGGGGGCCCGCACAAGCGGUGGAGCAUGUGGUUUAAUUCGAUGCAACGCGAAGAACCUUACCUGGUCUUGACAUCCACGGAAGWWUUCAGAGAUGRRWWUGUGCCUUCGGGAACCGUGAGACAGGUGCUGCAUGGCUGUCGUCAGCUCGUGUUGUGAAAUGUUGGGUUAAGUCCCGCAACGAGCGCAACCCUUAUCCUUUGUUGCCAGCGGUCCGGCCGGGAACUCAAAGGAGACUGCCAGUGAUAAACUGGAGGAAGGUGGGGAUGACGUCAAGUCAUCAUGGCCCUUACGACCAGGGCUACACACGUGCUACAAUGGCGCAUACAAAGAGAAGCGACCUCGCGAGAGCAAGCGGACCUCAU
This 434-nucleotide ribosomal RNA is filed under the name Salmonella enterica. Its description in RNAcentral is "bacterial SSU rRNA". The record is from RNAcentral. Lineage: Bacteria; Pseudomonadati; Pseudomonadota; Gammaproteobacteria; Enterobacterales; Enterobacteriaceae.